CCUACGGGAGGCAGCAGUGGGGAAUAUUGCACAAUGGGGGAAACCCUGAUGCAGCGACGCCGCGUGAGUGAAGAAGUAUUUCGGUACGUAAAGCUCUAUCAGCAGGGAAGAAAAACCGGCCUUAGGGCCGCCAGACGGUACCUGCCUAAGAAGCCACGGCUAACUACGGGCCAGCAGCCGCGGUAAUACGUAGGGGGCAAGCGUUAUCCGGAUUUACCGGGUGUAAAGGGAGCGUAGACGGCAGCGCAAGUCUGGAGUGAAAUGCCGGGGCCCAACCCCGGAACUGCUUUGGAAACUGUGCAGCUGGAGUGCAGGAGAGGUAAGCGGAAUGCAUAGUGUAGCGGUGAAAUGCGUAGAUAUUAGGAGGAACACCAGUGGCGAAGGCGGCUUACUGGACUGUAACUGACGUUGAGGCUCGAAAGCGUGGGGAGCAAACAGGAUUAGAUACCCGAGUAGUC
Molecule: ribosomal RNA, 458 nt
Filed under: uncultured bacterium
Lineage: Bacteria
Description: partial 16S ribosomal RNA
Rfam family: Bacterial small subunit ribosomal RNA
Source: RNAcentral